UUUAAAAUUUAAAGUCUAGCCUGCUCAAUGAGAAUUUAAAUAGCCGCAGUAUUUUGACUGUGCAAAGGUAGCAUAAUCAUUAGUUUCUUGAUUAGGAACUUGUAUGAAUGGUUGGAUGAGAAAUGAACUGUCUCUGUAUAAAUUUAUUUAGAAUUUUAUUUUUAAGUUAAAAAGCUUAAAUGUUUGUUAAAGACGAGAAGACCCUAUAGAGUUUAAUUUGAUUAAUAUUUUGAUUUAUUAAGAAUUUAAAUUUUGUUAUGUUAAUUGAAUUUUGUUGGGGGGACAGGAAGAAUAAGUUAACUUUUCUUUUUUAAAACAUUAAUUUAUGAUUUGUUGAUCCAAUGUUCUUGAUUAUAAGAUUAAAUUACCUUAGGGAUAACAGCGUAAUUUUUUUUGAGAGUUCUUAUCGAAAAAAAAGAUUGCGACCUCGAUGUUGGAUUAAAAUUUA
Molecule: ribosomal RNA, 448 nt
Filed under: Oocyclus itapecori
Lineage: Eukaryota; Metazoa; Arthropoda; Insecta; Coleoptera; Hydrophilidae
Description: partial 16S ribosomal RNA
Rfam family: Archaeal large subunit ribosomal RNA
Source: RNAcentral